AUACUUACCUGGCAGGGAAGAGACUAUCCAUCAUCAUGAAGAUGGUUUUCCCAGGGUGAGGCUCAUCUGUUGCACUUCAGAUAUGGUAACCCCUAUGAUUUCCCCAAAUGUGGGAAACUCGACUUAGUAAUUUGUGGUAGUGGAGGACUGUGUUUAUGCUCUCCUCUG
Molecule: small nuclear RNA, 168 nt
Organism: Nannospalax galili (Upper Galilee mountains blind mole rat)
Lineage: Eukaryota; Metazoa; Chordata; Mammalia; Rodentia; Spalacidae
Gene: U1
Rfam family: U1 spliceosomal RNA
About the family: U1 is a small nuclear RNA (snRNA) component of the spliceosome (involved in pre-mRNA splicing). Its 5' end forms complementary base pairs with the 5' splice junction, thus defining the 5' donor site of an intron.
Source: Ensembl